Molecule: transfer RNA, 75 nt
Filed under: Alphaproteobacteria bacterium
Lineage: Bacteria; Pseudomonadati; Pseudomonadota; Alphaproteobacteria
Description: tRNA-Asn
Rfam family: tRNA
About the family: Transfer RNA (tRNA) molecules are approximately 80 nucleotides in length. Their secondary structure includes four short double-helical elements and three loops (D, anti-codon, and T loops).
Source: RNAcentral
UCCCUGGUAGCUCAGCGGUAGAGCAAGCGACUGUUAAUCGCUUGGUCGCAAGUUCGAUCCUUGCCCAGGGAGCCA